AGGGCACCACCAGGAGUGGAGCCUGCGGCUUAAUUUGACUCGACACGGGGAAACUCACCCGGCCCGGACACCGUAAGGAUUGACAGAUUGAUAGCUUUUUCAUGAUUCGGUGGGUGGUGGUGCAUGGCCGUUCUUAGUUCGUGGAGCGAUUUGUCUGGUUUAUUCCGAUAACGAGCGAGACUCUAGCCUACUAAAUAGUUCGCACAUUGUCUCUGUGUGUGUGACUUCUUAGAGGGAUUUUCGGUGUUCAGCCGCACGAAAUUGAGCAAUAACAGGUCUGUGAUGCCCUUAGAUGUCCGGGGCUGCACGCGCGCUACACUGGCAAAAUCAGCGUGCUUGUCCUUCCCCGAAAGGGGUUGGUAAACCCUUGAAAAUUUGCCGUGAUUGGGAUUGGAAAUUGCAAUUAUUUUCCAUGAACGAGGAAUUCCAAGUAAGUGCGAGUCAUCAGCUCGCGUUGAUUACGUCCCUGCCCUUUGUACACACCGCCCGCCGCUGCCCGGGACUGAGCCAUUUCGAGAA
This 519-nucleotide ribosomal RNA is filed under the name uncultured eukaryote. RNAcentral's name for it is "SSU rRNA". It matches the Rfam family "Eukaryotic small subunit ribosomal RNA", at positions 1161 to 1705 of the family's 1831-position model. The record is from RNAcentral.